RNAcentral lists this non-coding RNA (183 nucleotides) under Propionispora sp. 2/2-37. Lineage: Bacteria; Bacillati; Bacillota; Negativicutes; Selenomonadales; Sporomusaceae. The record is from RNAcentral. RNAcentral also lists the same sequence under 1 other name.
CUGAAUAUGCUAGAGACAGGUGCCCGUUUAGGGCUUAAUAGGGAAGACCGGUUAAAAGCCGGCGCGGUCCCGCCACUGUAUUGGGGAGCAAACUCAAGUGACGCCACUGGGAUGAAAAUCCUGGGAAGGUUUGAGCGAGCCAUGAUCCAGAGCCAGGAGAACUGCCUGUUUGACAGUCACCGU